CCCGCUGUAGCACAGUGGUAGUGCGCCUGGCUGUAGACCGGGAGAUCGUGAGUUCAAAUCUCACCGGCGGGA
This 72-nucleotide transfer RNA is filed under the name archaeon. RNAcentral describes it as "tRNA-Tyr". It matches the Rfam family "tRNA". From Rfam's summary of the family: Transfer RNA (tRNA) molecules are approximately 80 nucleotides in length. RNAcentral also lists the same sequence under 1 other name. The record is from RNAcentral.